Molecule: ribosomal RNA, 468 nt
Filed under: uncultured bacterium
Lineage: Bacteria
Description: partial 16S ribosomal RNA
Rfam family: Bacterial small subunit ribosomal RNA
Source: RNAcentral
GACGAACGCUGGCGGCGUGCUUAACACAUGCAAGUCGAACGGAAAGGCCCUGCUUUUGUGGGGUGCUCGAGUGGCGAACGGGUGAGUAACACGUGAGUAACCUGCCCUUGACUUUGGGAUAACUUCAGGAAACUGGGGCUAAUACCGGAUAGGAGCUCCUGCUGCAUGGUGGGGGUUGGAAAGUUUCGGCGGUUGGGGAUGGACUCGCGGCUUAUCAGCUUGUUGGUGGGGUAGUGGCUUACCAAGGCUUUGACGGGUAGCCGGCCUGAGAGGGUGACCGGCCACAUUGGGACUGAGAUACGGCCCAGACACGUAUGGGAGGCAGAAGUCGGGAAUAUUGCACCAUGGGCGGAAGCCUGAUGCAGCAACGCCGCGUGCGGGAUGACGGCCUUCGGGUUGUAAACCGCUUUCGCCUGUGACGAAGCGUGAGUGACGGUAAUGGGUAAAGAAGCACCGGCUAACUACGUG